GAUGAACGCUGGCGGCGUGCCUAAUACAUGCCAGUAGAACGCUGAAGGAAGGAGCUUGCUCUUUCCGGAUGAGUUGCGAACGGGUGAGUAACGCGUAGGUAACCUGCCUGGUAGCGGGGGAUAACUAUUGGAAACGAUAGCUAAUACCGCAUAACAGUAGAUGUUGCAUGAUAUCUACUUAAAAGGUGCAAUUGCACCACUACCAGAUGGACCUGCGUUGUAUUAGCUAGUUGGUGAGGUAACGGCUCACCAAGGCGACGAUACAUAGCCGACCUGAGAGGGUGAUCGGCCACACUGGGACUGAGACACGGCCCAGACUCCUACGGGAGGCAGCAGUAGGGAAUCUUCGGCAAUGGACGGAAGUCUGACCGAGCAACGCCGCGUGAGUGAAGAAGGUUUUCGAAUCGUAAAGCUCUGUUGUAAGAGAAGAACGAGUGUGAGAGUGGAAAGUUCACACUGUGACGGUAUCUUACCAGAAAGGGACGGCUAACUACGUG
Molecule: ribosomal RNA, 497 nt
Filed under: uncultured bacterium
Lineage: Bacteria
Description: partial 16S ribosomal RNA
Rfam family: Bacterial small subunit ribosomal RNA
Source: RNAcentral